UGGAGCAUGGCGUAGUUUGGUAACGUCCCUUCUUGGGGGGAUGGAUAUCGUGGGUUCCCACCCCGCGUGCUCCAA
This 75-nucleotide transfer RNA is filed under the name Ectropothecium sp. 2 VCL-2021. Its description in RNAcentral is "tRNA-Pro". The record is from RNAcentral. Lineage: Eukaryota; Viridiplantae; Streptophyta; Bryopsida; Hypnales; Pylaisiaceae.